Molecule: ribosomal RNA, 300 nt
Filed under: uncultured Lactobacillus sp.
Lineage: Bacteria; Bacillati; Bacillota; Bacilli; Lactobacillales; Lactobacillaceae
Description: bacterial SSU rRNA
Rfam family: Bacterial small subunit ribosomal RNA
Source: RNAcentral
GCGAACUACGAGCCAGCGGGCGCGGUAAGACGGAGGGUGCAAGGGUGGGCCGGAUUUAUUGGGCGGAAAGAGUUCGUAGGCGGUUCGUUAAGUCUGAUGUUAAAGGUCGGGGCCCAACCCUGAGAGUGCAUUGGAUACUGGCGAACUGGAGUGCAGUAGAGGCGAGUGGAAUUCCCAGUGUAGCGGUGAAAUGCGUAGAUAUUGGGAAGAACACCGGUGGCGUAGGCGACUCGCUGGGCUGUAACUGACGCUGAGGAACGAAAGCCAGGGGAGCGAAAGGGAUUAGAUACCCUAGUAGUC